This 253-nucleotide ribosomal RNA is filed under the name uncultured bacterium. RNAcentral describes it as "partial 16S ribosomal RNA". It matches the Rfam family "Bacterial small subunit ribosomal RNA", at positions 524 to 776 of the family's 1533-position model. The record is from RNAcentral.
UACGAAGGGGGCUAGCGUUGCUCGGAAUGACUGGGCGUAAAGGGCGCGUAGGCGGUUCGUACAGUCAGACGUGAAAUUCCCGGGCUCAACCUGGGGGCUGCGUUUGAUACGUGCGGGCUUGAGUUCGGAAGAGGGUCGUGGAAUUCCCAGUGUAGAGGUGAAAUGCGUAGAGAUCGGGAGGAACACCAGAGGCGAAGGCGGCGACCUGGAUAGGUACUGACACUCAACUACGAAAGCGUGGGGAGCAAACAGG